Molecule: ribosomal RNA, 452 nt
Filed under: uncultured bacterium
Lineage: Bacteria
Description: bacterial SSU rRNA
Rfam family: Bacterial small subunit ribosomal RNA
Source: RNAcentral
UACGGGAGGCAGCAGUAAGGAAUAUUGGUCAAUGGGGCAACCCUGAACCAGCCAUGCCGCGUGCAGGAAGACGGCCCUACGGGUUGUAAACUGCUUUUAUACGGGAUAAACCUCAAUUCGUGAAUUGAGCUGAAUGUACUGUAAGAAUAAGGAUCGGCUAACUCCGUGCCAGCAGCCGCGGUAAUACGGAGGAUCCAAGCGUUAUCCGGAUUUAUUGGGUUUAAAGGGUGCGUAGGCGGCCUAUUAAGUCAGGGGUGAAAGACGGUGGCUCAACCAUCGCAGUGCCCCUUGAUACUGAUGGGCUUUGAUUUACACUUUGAGGUAGGCGGAAUGUGACAAGUAGCGGUGAAAUGCAUAGAUAUGUCACAGAACACCAAUUGCGAAGGCAGCUUACUAAGGGUGUUAAUGACGCUGAGGCACGAAAGCGUGGGGAUCAAACAGGAUUAGAUACC